This 493-nucleotide ribosomal RNA is filed under the name uncultured bacterium. RNAcentral describes it as "bacterial SSU rRNA". It matches the Rfam family "Bacterial small subunit ribosomal RNA", at positions 28 to 517 of the family's 1533-position model. The record is from RNAcentral.
GAUGAACGCUAGCGGCAGGCUUAAUACAUGCAAGUCGAGGGGCAGCACGGUUAGCAAUAACUGGUGGCGACCGGCGCACGGGUGCGUAACACGUAUACAAUCUACCUUAAACAGGGGGAUAGCCUUUCGAAAGAGAGAUUAAUACCCCGUAAUAAAUUGAACGGCAUCGUUUGAUUUUGAAAGCUCCGGCGGUUUGAGAUGAGUAUGCGUCUGAUUAGCUAGUUGGUGAGGUAACGGCUCACCAAGGCGACGAUCAGUAGGGGAUCUGAGAGGACUAACCCCCACACUGGUACUGAGACACGGACCAGACUCCUACGGGAGGCAGCAGUAAGGAAUAUUGGUCAAUGGAGGCAACUCUGAACCAGCCAUGCCGCGUGCAGGAUGACGGCCCUAUGGGUUGUAAACUGCUUUUAUACAAGAGAAAACCCUGGUACGUGUACCAGGUUGAUAGUAUUGUAAGAAUAAGCAUCGGCUAACUUCGUGCCAGCAGCCG